GAAGUCCUGGCCCUCAGUUCCCUAAGAGAGUUACCACUCGCAGUUCCACGUGCAAGUUACUACCUAAAAUUGCCAAUAGAAAGUAAGGUCCUUCGCAGCAAAAUAUUUAUACAACCACUGGGGCCACUCAGCGGGGUGUGGAGGCGGGGAGGGAGGAGGAGUAAAGGCUGUUUACAAACUUGGCGUACAGACGCAGCCCUAUCCGAAAGGUUCUGAGAUUGGGGGUUACAGUAUUGAGAUCUGGGGGCGUUCUGAUGCCCAUGGCUCCGGUGCCUGAUUUAUGCCCACCUCGGCCGUAACCUUUCGAAGAACAGAAGGAUUCCUGUGCUCUGGCCCUAGGUCUUGGGGCAGCGAUGACUCACCGCAGCACCCCCUCCGCCUUCGCCAAACUGCCGUCUCCGCCCACCCCCAAACAAUCUCGACAACGCGCCGCGGUUCCUGGAGCCUUGCUGCGGCUUAAGAGGUUCAUCUCCAUCCCUGCAUCCCAGCAGGCUAAACCUCGCCGCUCGCGUCUUGCCUAGCUCCCCAUUCAACCCCUCCGUUGAGCGCCGGAGAUGGAUGCGACAUCCAUACAGGGAUCUCUGGACCCACGAACAGCAGCGAGCAGAAGGGGCAGCCGAGCACCCCGCACAGUGGAUAAUAUUGUAUUCAGUCCUCCUGACAACUCAGUGAAAUCGGAAUGACAUUAGCCCAACUUUUCAGAAGAGGAAAUGAAAGCACAGAGAGGAUAAGCAACUUGCCCAAGGUUGCACAGCCUGUCAAACGAUACAUAUCGGUGGCAUUCAUGGCAAGCAUAACUGCAAUAAACUUCAGCUACUGUUGGGCUCUAUGCAAGAAGGAGCAAUUAUAAAAAGCAAGAGUUUGGAGGUAUAAUUUUCUUUCAGGCACUGUCAUCUUAGUGGUGGUGGUGCCUGAAUUCCGGUUACAGUAGGCAACACAAAUUCACCCAUGUGAAUUUUUUAAAUGAACAUUUCUUAUACCUGAUUAUUCAGUUCAUUAAUUCAGAGCACAAAUCUGAACUUCAUGGAACUUGUAUUUGCUCUAAGGUACUUUUUCCUGUAAAACAGAGGUCAAAGUAGAGAAAUGGUUUCCUGAGCGGUGACUUUAGUCCUUGUGUCCAGGAGUGGCAGAGGUCCUAAAAAUAAAAACUGACAUAAUUCAAGACUCUCUUCUCUCUACUUCACUGAUCAGGUGAAAGGGAAGGGAACCAACUGUUAAGAGACAGUAAAUGCAGUAAAAUUUUAGACAAUUAUUAAAAAUUGAGGAAGAGCUGUAUCUUUUAGUAUAUAAAAUGUCCAAGAUGUAUUAUUGAGUCACAGUGUUGUUUGUCUAAUUGGGUCCUAUAGUAGUAAAAACAAAAUUAAACAGCAACAACGAGAUCUCAGCCUGUGCAAGAAUAGAAUAUGCAUUAAAAAAAAAAAGUCUCCAAAGAUGGAUAUACAUCAAACUGUGAUCAUAUGACUAUAGUCUCUGGGACUGGGAAUUAUGGAGAUCUUUUUUACUUUCUGCAUUUCUAUG
Molecule: long non-coding RNA, 1518 nt
Organism: Pteropus alecto (black flying fox)
Lineage: Eukaryota; Metazoa; Chordata; Mammalia; Chiroptera; Pteropodidae
Exons: 3
Source: RefSeq, a predicted model, not a curated record